This 254-nucleotide ribosomal RNA is filed under the name uncultured bacterium. RNAcentral's name for it is "partial 16S ribosomal RNA". It matches the Rfam family "Bacterial small subunit ribosomal RNA", at positions 524 to 776 of the family's 1533-position model. The record is from RNAcentral.
UACGGGGGGGGCAAGCGUUGUUCGGAAUUACUGGGCGUAAAGGGCUCGUAGGUGGCCAACUAAGUCAGACGUGAAAUUCCUCGGCUUAACCGGGGAACUGCGUCUGAUACUGGAUGGCUUGAGUUUGGGAGAGGGAUGCGGAAUUCCAGGUGUAGCGGUGAAAUGCGUAGAUAUCUGGAGGAACACCGGUGGCGAAGGCGGCAUCCUGGACCAACACUGACGCUGAGUGAGCGAAAGCCAGGGGAGCAAACGGG